UGGGGAAUUUUNUNACAAUGGGCGCAAGCCUGAUCCAGCCAUGCCGCGUGUCUGAAGAAGGCCUUCGGGUUGUAAAGGACUUUUGUCAGGGAAGAAAAGGCUGUUGCUAAUAUCGACAGCUGAUGACGGUACCUGAAGAAUAAGCACCGGCUAACUACGUGCCAGCAGCCGCGGUAAUACGUAGGGUGCGAGCGUUAAUCGGAAUUACUGGGCGUAAAGCGAGCGCAGACGGUUACUUAAGCAGGAUGUGAAAUCCCCGGGCUCAACCUGGGAACUGCGUUCUGAACUGGGUGACUAGAGUGUGUCAGAGGGAGGUAGAAUUCCACGUGUAGCAGUGAAAUGCGUAGAGAUGUGGAGGAAUACCGAUGGCGAAGGCAGCCUCCUGGGAUAACACUGACGUUCAUGCUCGAAAGCGUGGGUAGCAAACAGGAUUAGAUACCCUGGUAGUCCACGCCCUAAACGAUGUCAAUUAGCUGUUGGGCAACUUGAUUGCUUAGUAGCGUAGCUACGCGUGAAAUUGACCGCCUGGGGAGUACGGUCGCAAGAUUA
RNAcentral lists this ribosomal RNA (549 nucleotides) under uncultured bacterium. Its description in RNAcentral is "bacterial SSU rRNA". It matches the Rfam family "Bacterial small subunit ribosomal RNA", at positions 355 to 896 of the family's 1533-position model. The record is from RNAcentral.